GUGAGGAAUAUUGCGCAAUGGAGGCAACUCUGACGCAGCCAUGCCGCGUGCAGGAAGAAGGCGCUACGCGUUGUAAACUGCUUUUAACCGGGAAGAAACCCCAGGACGUGUCCUGGGUUGACGGUACCGGAGGAAUAAGCACCGGCUAACUUCGUGCCAGCAGCCGCGGUAAUACGAAGGGUGCAAGCGUUAUCCGGAUUCAUUGGGUUUAAAGGGUGCGUAGGCGGAGCGUUAAGUCAGUGGUGAAAUCCUGCAGCUUAACUGUAGACUUGCCAUUGAGACUGGGGCUCUUGAGUGCGCUUGAAGUGGGCGGAAUGUGCCGUGUAGCGGUGAAAGGCUUAGAUAUGGCACAGAACACCAAUUGCGAAGGCAGCUCACUAAGGCGAUACUGACGCUGAGGCACGAAAGCGUGGGGAUCGAACAGGAUUAGAUACCCCAGUAGUCC
Molecule: ribosomal RNA, 445 nt
Filed under: uncultured bacterium
Lineage: Bacteria
Description: partial 16S ribosomal RNA
Rfam family: Bacterial small subunit ribosomal RNA
Source: RNAcentral